Molecule: ribosomal RNA, 811 nt
Filed under: Diaporthe phragmitis
Lineage: Eukaryota; Fungi; Ascomycota; Sordariomycetes; Diaporthales; Diaporthaceae
Description: LSU rRNA
Rfam family: Eukaryotic large subunit ribosomal RNA
Source: RNAcentral
UGCCCUAGUAACGGCGAGUGAAGCGGCAACAGCUCAAAUUUGAAAUCUGGCCUCGGCCCGAGUUGUAAUUUGCAGAGGAUGCUUCUGGCGCGGUGCCUUCCGAGUUCCCUGGAACGGGACGCCACAGAGGGUGAGAGCCCCGUAUGGUCGGACACCAAGCCUGUGUGAAGCUCCUUCGACGAGUCGAGUAGUUUGGGAAUGCUGCUCUAAAUGGGAGGUAAAUCUCUUCUAAAGCUAAAUACCGGCCAGAGACCGAUAGCGCACAAGUAGAGUGAUCGAAAGAUGAAAAGCACCUUGAAAAGGGGGUUAAAUAGUACGUGAAAUUGUUGAAAGGGAAGCACUUAUGACCAGACUUGGGCCGGGCGGCUCAUCAGGGGUUCUCCCCUGUGCACUCCGCCCGGCACAGGCCAGCAUCGGUUCUCGUGGGGGGAUAAGACCGUCAGGAACGUAGCACCCUCCGGGGUGUGUUAUAGCCUGGCGGACGAUACCCCCGUGGGGACCGAGGUCCGCGCUCCGCAAGGAUGCUGGCGUAAUGGUCAUCAGUGACCCGUCUUGAAACACGGACCAAGGAGUCGUCCAUUAGAGCGAGCGUUUGGGUGUAAAACCCGCACGCGUAAUGAAAGUGAACGCAGGUGAGAGCUUCGGCGCAUCAUCGACCGAUCCUGAUGUUCUCGGAAGGAUUUGAGUAAGAGUUUUAACGGACGGACCCGAAAGACAGUGAACUAUGCUUGUAUAGGGUGAAGCCAGAGGAAACUCUGGUGGAGGCUCGCAGCGGUUCUGACGUGCAAAUCGAUCGUCAAAUAUGAGCAUG